RNAcentral lists this ribosomal RNA (427 nucleotides) under uncultured prokaryote. Its description in RNAcentral is "bacterial SSU rRNA". It matches the Rfam family "Bacterial small subunit ribosomal RNA", at positions 355 to 774 of the family's 1533-position model. The record is from RNAcentral.
UCGAGAAUUUUUCUCAAUGGGGGAAACCCUGAAGGAGCGACGCCGCGUGGGGGAUGAAGGGCUUCGGCUCGUAAACCCCUGUCAUUUGUGAGCAAGUGUUAUUGUUUAAGAGAUGAUGACAUUGAUAGUAGCAAAAGAGGAAGGGACGGCUAACUCUGUGCCAGCAGCCGCGGUAAUACAGAGGUCCCAAGCGUUGUUCGGAAUCACUGGGCGUAAAGGGUGCGUAGGCGGUAUAGUAAGACUUGGGUGAAAUCUCCAGGCUUAACGUGGAGGGAGCCUGGGAGACUGCUGGGCUAGAGGAUUGGAAGGGAGACUGGAAUUCUUGGAGUAGCAGUGAAAUGCGUAGAUAUCAAGAGGAACACCAGUGGCGAAGGCGAGUCUCUGGACAAGACCUGACGCUGAGGCACGAAGGCCAGGGGAUCAAACG